UUAUUGAUAAAUUCACUGGGCAGCUCUUUCAACAAGUUUCUGUGCGUGCCUCCAUGUGUGUGCACGAGUGUGUGUCUGUACUGUGUGUGUAUUUGCGAAAGAGAACGGGAGAAGGAAAGUGUGAUUUCCGUACAUAUAAAGGUGGAAAACAUAAAUAAUUAGUAAUUUUUCAUCCUAUUGCUUAUUAUAUUUAUUUGCUCAAUAUCUUUUGAGGUUUUGGUUCUUUUACUGUUGUAGAAAGCCGCCCAUAGUAUAACAAAAGUAGGUUACACUUUAUUUUAAGUUGUCCAAGUUACAGUGUAAAUAUACAUUUAAGUAAUAUUAAUUCACUAUAUGUACUUAUUAUAUAGGGUUAGGAUUAGGGUUUGGUUUAGGGUUACUUGCGUGUAAUUAGGACUAUGCAUGAAUAAUUGUUAUUAUAAUAGUAAGUACAUGUAACGUGUAACAAGGACACCUUAAAAUAAAAUGUUAGCCAAAAGUAAUAUUUAUCGCUUAAUUGUACUUGAAGCAUAUCUUCAUGUCUCAUUUUUCUUUUUAUUUUAACUUAUUUUAAAAUAACGCAAUUUUUACUUCACAACCCUCAAUCAAUUCAGUUUUAUUUUUUGGCCCUUUGUAGUAAAAAGCUUUGGCACCUCUGAUUUAAUAUUCAUUUAUAAUAUUUUAAGUGUUUUUAAAAGGUUUGGUGAUGUUUCACUUCUUUCAUUUUCACUUCAAUGUGCUUUUGAGCCUGUUCAUCCUGCUGCAGUUUCCUGCAGGUCAUGUGACUGAUGCGACUCAUCUGCAUACAAGUAUUUAAGACCACAGCAUACUUUGCAGUGUUCUCAGACGGGAGAUUGAAGAACACAAGACUAAUCUGUUGUAUGAUAUUAAGCAUUUCAUCUGCUUUCAUUUGCUCUUUGGGAUCCAAAUUCACUUCAGGACUUAGGUUCUUCCAGCCUUACAGAAGACCUAAGACAUCAUAUCCUGACAAAUUAAAAUCAAACAACAUGGCGGCAGAGAAAGCAGCAGCAGAAGAACCAAGGGAAACUCUACUGUCACCACUGACAUUAACAAUUACAAUUGUAACAGUUGUAGUAGUAGCUUAUGCAUAUAUUUCAGGAGUAUGUGAAGGAGUAGUCGGAGCAGCAGCUGGAGCAGCAGCUGGAAUUGGCAUUUUACACUCACUGUGGGAAGAAGAAGAAAGAACAGAACUACUAGCUGUCGCAGUAACAGGAGUAACAGGAGGCAUAGCAGGAUUAGCAGCAGCAAUGUUGCGAUCAAUGGUAGCAGAACGUUCACUAACAGGAGCAGCAAUAGUUGGAGCGAUAGCAGGAGCUGCAAUAGUUGCAAUAGCAAAAACACAAUUAAAAUGCGCUAUAAAAAUAAUAAAGCGUUUAAAAGAUGCAUUGAAACUGUUUGUAGGAGUGAGUCUAGUAGCAAUAACAGGAAGUCUAAUAAAAUGGGUAAAAGAUCUAAUAAAGUCUGCAGUAUCCCAAGUAAAAGCAGCAGCACAAUGGAUUAUAGAUGCAGCAAAAAAAGCAUUCAAUGCAUUAGCAUCAUUUGGAGCAUCAGGAUUAGCACUAACAGCAGCAGGAGUAGUAGCAUCAGUAGCAUUAGCAUCAGCAGCAGCAUCAGGAUUAGCAGCAGUAGGAACAGCAGUAGCAGGUCUAGCAUCUGGAUUAUUUGGAGGAUUAUUGGGACUUGGGUUAGUACUUGCGGCAGGAGCAGCACUUUUUGGAUCAGGCUGGAGAGGACAAUCAAACCAGCAGCAGCAGACCCGAGGAGCAGAUAUGAUGUUACCAAUUGCUGCUUUUUUGCUUUUGCUUUUAUUUUGUUUUCUUGUUACCUCCGUGGGUUUGUUUCGAUGUUGCUGUUUGUUGAUUCUCUUCCUGUUCCUGUGGUUUCUGCUGUGCUACCGCUCUGAAAAUCACUGAUCUUGUUCAUUAAGAAGGCGACCAGUAUGAAAGCCUCAAAAAGGUCUCAAAAACGAAGAUGAAAGAGACUCUCAGGUCUUGUCUCCAUGCAGGGACUUUUUUCAGCCUGCAUUAUUUUGACCUAGUUCUAUUAUUGUGGAUUCAGUGUUCUUCUAUUGUUGUAAGGUCAUUGUUCUGCUACAAAUAUCACUUCUGUGUACUGCUGUGUGUACAUUAUAUCCAACUUUACAUACUAACAUAAAAAGAUAUUUAAAAAGAAACGCCCUCUCAAUUUCUACUACUUUUAUCUGCAGAAAAUUUCUUAACGUGUAUAUAUUUGUUUUAACAGAAAGUUAAAUAACUGAGACAAACUGCACAAGUUCCACAGCCAUUCAGUGGUUACUAUGCAAGAGAAGCAUGGAUGGAUACUUUUGCACUUUUGAAAUUUUUUUCCCUUUUUUUUCUUCCAUUAGCACCAACACAAAACACAAGUGUGGGUAUUGGGCUUGUGUUCUGUUUAAUAGGUAAAUUAAAGGUCUAAAAGUUUCAUCACGAAUUAUAAAACAAUUUGAUUUCUGAUGAGAAUUUUAAAAUUAAGAGAUUAAUCAUUUUCAUUGGCUUUCUACACACACAUGCACAAUUCUUUUUUUUUUUUUUUGUGGGGACAUUCCAUAGACAUAAUGGUUUUUCUACUGUACAAACUGUAUUUUCUAUCCCCUCAACCUAACCCUAAACCUAAAUCUACCUCUCACACAAAACGUUCUUCUAUUUUUGAUAGAACAUAUUUUCUAUAUGCUUUAUAAGAUUGUUUUCUCUUGGGGACAAAUCACAAAUGUCCCAAAAAUGUCAAAAUUUACUGGUAUUACUAUACUUGUGGGGACAUUUGGUCCUCAUAAUGUAGGGAAUCCCAGGUACGCACACACACGGUUGUUUGUAUUUUUAAGUAGUCAAAAACAAAACACAAAUAUAUGCAUGUUUAAAGGUAAUUUUAUAGAUAUAUAAUUCUUUUAUUUAAGAUCUG
This is a long non-coding RNA of Cyprinus carpio (common carp), 2913 nucleotides long. NCBI's taxonomy places the organism in Eukaryota, Metazoa, Chordata, Actinopteri, Cypriniformes, Cyprinidae. The record is from Ensembl.